AGUGAUAUGAUAUGAAUAUUAUAGAGAAAGAGUGCUCAUAACCCCUAUGGGUUAUGUCAAAAUGGAAUUCAAACUAGGGAAAUUUGCUCUAAUCAAGAAGAUAAAUUGUCACCAAAGAAACAAGCAAGACUUAAAAACAUUCAAGAAGGAAAACAAAGAAUGGACCGGAUAUCACACAUUAUAUGGAUUAAGUGUUGAAGAGAACAUGAAUUGUUGAGUAUUUCGAGCCUGAUGAUCUUGCAUUACAGAAUUGGUAAUUCAGAUCUUGAAAAUUAAUAGGAUAAAAUCAAUGCAAGAAAAUUGAGUGUGUGUUCAUGGAAUAGUUAUCUGUCAUAUGAUCGUAGGAACUACAUAGUCAUUAACUUCAAAUA
Ctenocephalides felis (cat flea) is the source of this 371-nucleotide long non-coding RNA. RefSeq lists it as uncharacterized. The transcript is spliced from 3 exons. The record is from RefSeq and is a predicted model, not a curated record. NCBI's taxonomy places the organism in Eukaryota, Metazoa, Arthropoda, Insecta, Siphonaptera, Pulicidae.